RNAcentral lists this small RNA (495 nucleotides) under Pongo abelii (Sumatran orangutan). RNAcentral's name for it is "processed transcript". The record is from RNAcentral. Lineage: Eukaryota; Metazoa; Chordata; Mammalia; Primates; Hominidae.
CUCCCCUUCUGUGUCCUGCAGAUGGACACCCGCUCCGGGAGCCAGUGUUCCGUCACCCCAGAAGCCAUACUCAACAAUGAACAGCUGGUCUUGCCGCCCCGCAUCUCUAGAGUGAACGGCUGGUCGUUACCCUUGCACUACUUCCAGGUGGUGACUUGGGCUGUCUUCGUGGGCCUUUCCUCGGCCACCUUCGGGAUCUUCAUUCCCCUCCUGCCUCAUGUGUGGAAAUACAUCGCCUACGUGGUGACCGGGGGGAUCUUCUCCUUCCACCUCGUCGUCCACCUGAUCGCCUCCUGCAUCGACCCGGCCGACUCCAAUGUCAGACUCAAGAAGAACUAUUCUCAGCCCAUGCCCAUCUUCGACAGAUCAAAACACGCACACGUGAUCCAGAAUCAGUUCUGCCACCUGUGCAGGGUCACCGUACCUCAACACCCUCCCCCAGCCUCCCAUUCCCCGUUGGACGCCCACUCCCCAGGCCACACAGGGCUGGUUCCU